GAUUUGCCGUUUAGUGCAAGUAGCAUGAACACCCAACCCAAUUAUGUCACAGAUGCCAAAUAUAACUUUUGCAGUAGAUAUCCAAUCAUCUUGUGCCAUGUAAUUUAGAACUCCAUUGUCAGAUAGGUUUCUUGUGACAUGGGUGUACCUCACCUACCUCACCGGAGACCUGGAGCUACGCACCAUGUUUGAAUCUGUAUGAAACUGAAUCUCUAACCAUCAUCUUACACAAUGCAAAACAUUCUUGGAACUUUCUCGCGAGUGAAAAUACUUUUUUUUUAAAAGAAAUUGUAUGAUAAAAAGUAUUAUAUUAUAAUUAGUUGAUGUUACAAUAAAUUCAUUCAAUUUCUUGCUAAUCUUUUUUUUUGUUUGUUUGUGAAAAACUAGCUAAUAACUUGAAUAUUGUACUAAUAUAUAAAAAAGGUUAAUAUAUGGGAUGUAAAAAUACCAUCAUCGUUUGGUAUGAUGGUCUGCUUAUUAAUUAGGAAUAUGAAUAGGAAUGCGGGAAUGAGAUUCUUUAACUUGUUUACUUCAAAAGUAGGGAGGGAAAAUGACAAU
Molecule: long non-coding RNA, 558 nt
Filed under: Citrus x clementina
Lineage: Eukaryota; Viridiplantae; Streptophyta; Magnoliopsida; Sapindales; Rutaceae
Description: Citrus clementina (C. clementina) long non-coding RNA (CCLE_LNC004359)
Source: RNAcentral